UUUGCUCUUCAUUUCAACAUGUCUUUUCCUCUUACUCUUUGUGAUUUUCACUUGAUCCUUUUGAGUUUUGAUUCCAAAGUUCUUAAGAGACAGAGAUCCUAUUGGCUGGUGCAAGACCAUAGCAGUUGUGUGUGUGUGUGUGUGUGAGAGAGAGAGAGAGAGAGAGAGAGAGAGAGAGAGAGAGAGAGAGAGGGAGAGGGAGAGGGAGAGGGAGAGCGCUGAGUCACUGUCUCCCAUUUCUGGCUUUGCUUCUCACAUCCACAACCCAUGUGCUCUACUUCCAUUUUUUCCUCUCAUUCCUGUUCCAAGCACAUCUGAAGGGCCCUCCAGACUAAGACUCCACCAUGAGCACCUUUCACCUUGCACUUCCCCGACCCUGCUUCCCUUGUCCAGGACUACCAACAGGAUGCUGGACCAGGCUGAGCUGGACAGCCAUAGCCAGGUAGCCAGUUGGAUCCCUCUCCAGUGAUAACAAAGGUCUGGAGUCUCAGAGGGCUUUUCCUAGGACAAGACGUACCUCCAGAUCAAGAAAUUAUUUCAGCUGUGGCAUGAUCAACAAGUUCUGGAGCGGAAGGAAACCUUUCUAAACCACAAAUAACAAAAAACAUCUAUCUAUUAUGUCAGAAGACAAAGUUGUCUUUCUAUUCUCUGUACAUAAAAUGGCAUUGUAAAAUUUUUACCAUGUGAAAAAAGAUCAAUGAGUAUAACGCCAAAAAUAUAGGGAAAAGAUGUAUUACAUAGAUGGGUCAGCACUUAAGUUGUAAUUGUAGCAAAAAUUGUUAAUUAAAAC
This 790-nucleotide long non-coding RNA is filed under the name Sus scrofa (pig). RNAcentral's name for it is "lncRNA (ENSSSCG00030043060.1)". Lineage: Eukaryota; Metazoa; Chordata; Mammalia; Artiodactyla; Suidae. The record is from RNAcentral.